CAGCAGCCGCGGGAAUACGAAGGGUGCAAGCGUUAAUCGGAAUUACUGGGCGUAAAGCGUGCGUAGGCGGUGAGUUAAGUCUGCUGUGAAAUCCCCGGGCUCAACCUGGGAAUGGCAGUGGAUACUGGCUCGCUAGAGUGUGUCAGAGGAUGGUGGAAUUCCCGGUGUAGCGGUGAAAUGCGUAGAGAUCGGGAGGAACAUCAGUGGCGAAGGCGGCCAUCUGGGACAACACUGACGCUGUGGCACGAAAGCGUGGGGAGCAAACAGGAUUAGAUACCCCCGUAGUCCCUGUCUCUUAUAC
RNAcentral lists this ribosomal RNA (301 nucleotides) under uncultured bacterium. Its description in RNAcentral is "partial 16S ribosomal RNA". It matches the Rfam family "Bacterial small subunit ribosomal RNA", at positions 509 to 807 of the family's 1533-position model. The record is from RNAcentral.